AUGGCUUCUGCAGGUUCAUCCACUACUCCCACUCUCAAGGCAGCCUUAAUCGCCGCCAUUCUCGCCGUCCUGGUUCUGCCUUCCAUGGGCCGCUGCCCGUCGCUCGGGCCGCAGGCAGCGCCCACGCCUGCGCCGACACCGGCGAUACGGUGCAGCGAUUGUGACCAACGCUGCAGCACGACGUGUUUAGCCAACGGCGUCCUCGUAUGCAAGAACGACUGCGAGCUCUCGGGCUUCCAAUGUCGCGACUGCUGGGACAUGCAAUUGGUCGUGUGCCUCAGACCCUGCAAAAGUGACUGUCGCACCGCCGCCUGCGUCGACGACUAA
RNAcentral lists this ribosomal RNA (327 nucleotides) under Triticum aestivum (bread wheat). Its description in RNAcentral is "partial small subunit ribosomal RNA". The record is from RNAcentral. Lineage: Eukaryota; Viridiplantae; Streptophyta; Magnoliopsida; Poales; Poaceae.